Molecule: ribosomal RNA, 629 nt
Filed under: uncultured bacterium
Lineage: Bacteria
Description: bacterial SSU rRNA
Rfam family: Bacterial small subunit ribosomal RNA (bases 1-541)
Source: RNAcentral
CCUACGGGAGGCAGCAGUGGGGAAUUUUGGACAAUGGGCGAAAGCCUGAUCCAGCAAUGCCGCGUGAGUGAAGAAGGCCUUCGGGUUGUAAAGCUCUUUUGUCAGGGAAGAAACGGUGAAAGCUAAUAUCUUUUGCUAAUGACGGUACCUGAAGAAUAAGCACCGGCUAACUACGUGCCAGCAGCCGCGGUAAUACGUAGGGUGCAAGCGUUAAUCGGAAUUACUGGGCGUAAAGCGUGCGCAGGCGGUUUUGUAAGUCUGAUGUGAAGUCCCCGGGCUCAACCUGGGAAUUGCAUUGGAGACUGCAAGGCUAGAAUCUGGCAGAGGGGGGUAGAAUUCCACGUGUAGCAGUGAAAUGCGUAGAUAUGUGGAGGAACACCGAUGGCGAAGGCAGCCCCCUGGGUCAAGAUUGACGCUCAUGCACGAAAGCGUGGGGAGCAAACAGGAUUAGAUACCCUGGUAGUCCACGCCCUAAACGAUGUCUACUAGUUGUCGGGUCUUAAUUGACUUGGUAACGCGAGCUACGCGUGAGUAGACCGCCGUCGGGNGGUACGGUCGCGAGAGUUAAACGUUAACGUAAGUAGUAGUAGACGNGAGAGAGCGACGACGACGACGACGGAGGGAGGAGG